UACGUAGGGUGCGAGCGUUGUUCGGAAUUACUGGGCGUAAAGGGCGCGUAGGCGGUUGGAUAAGUCAGCUGUGAAAACCACGGGCUUAACUCGUGGCCUGCAGUUGAGACUGUCUGGCUUGAGUGUGGGAGAGGAGAGUGGAAUUCCUGGUGUAGCGGUGAAAUGCGUAGAUAUCAGGAGGAACACCGGUGGCGAAGGCGGCUCUCUGGACCACAACUGACGCUGAGGCGCGAAAGCUAGGGGAGCAAACAGG
This 253-nucleotide ribosomal RNA is filed under the name uncultured bacterium. RNAcentral describes it as "partial 16S ribosomal RNA". It matches the Rfam family "Bacterial small subunit ribosomal RNA", at positions 524 to 776 of the family's 1533-position model. The record is from RNAcentral.